Molecule: ribosomal RNA, 444 nt
Filed under: uncultured bacterium
Lineage: Bacteria
Description: partial 16S ribosomal RNA
Rfam family: Bacterial small subunit ribosomal RNA
Source: RNAcentral
CCUACGGGGGGCAGCAGUGGGGAAUAUUGGGCAAUGGAGGAAACUCUGACCCAGCAAUGCCGCGUGAAUGAAGAAGGUCUUCGGGUUGUAAAGUUCUUUACUCAGGGAAGAAGAAAGUGACGGUACCUCAGGAAUAAGCUACGGCUAACUACGUGCCAGCAGCCGCGGUAAUACGUAGGGAGCAAGCGUUGUUCGGAAUGACUGGGCGUAAAGGGUGCGUAGGCGGGUAAACAAGUUAGAAGUGAAAUACCCAGGGCUCAACCCUGGUGCUGCUUCUAAAACUGUAAGACUUGAGUGCAGGAGAGGCUAGCGGAAUUCCUAGUGUAGCGGUGGAAUGCGUAGAUAUUAGGAGGAACACCAGAGGCGAAGGCGGCUAGCUGGACUGUAACUGACGCUGAGGCACGAAAGUGUGGGGAGCAAACAGGAUUAGAUACCCCAGUAGUC